AUACAGAGGGUGCGAGCGUUAAUCGGAAUUACUGGGCGUAAAGCGCGCGUAGGCGGCUUGGUCAGUCGGAUGUGAAAGCCCCGGGCUCAACCUGGGAAUGGCAUUCGAUACUGCCAGGCUAGAGUAUGAGAGAGGGAAGUGGAAUUUCCGGUGUAGCGGUGAAAUGCGUAGAUAUCGGAAGGAACACCAGUGGCGAAGGCGACUUCCUGGCCCAAUACUGACGCUGAGGUGCGAAAGCGUGGGGAGCGAACAGGAUUAGAUACCCUAGUAGUCC
This 274-nucleotide ribosomal RNA is filed under the name uncultured bacterium. RNAcentral describes it as "partial 16S ribosomal RNA". It matches the Rfam family "Bacterial small subunit ribosomal RNA", at positions 523 to 796 of the family's 1533-position model. The record is from RNAcentral.